This is a long non-coding RNA of Felis catus (domestic cat), 8184 nucleotides long. RefSeq lists it as uncharacterized. The record is from RefSeq and is a predicted model, not a curated record. The transcript has 6 exons. Lineage: Eukaryota; Metazoa; Chordata; Mammalia; Carnivora; Felidae.
GGGGGAGGCGCGCGCGCCGGGAACCGCGUCAGCCGGCGGCGGCGCGCGCGCGCGCGCGCGCGCGGCCUUCCCUCCCCACAGCGCCCCCGGGCCCGCGGCUCCCAGAGGUGGGAGCGUGCGGGGCCUGGCGGGGGCGGAGCCUGGGGCCGGGCGCGCGCCGGGGUGCCCCUCCCCGCCUCCGCCCCCGCCCGACGCGCGGGCUCCGCCGACCUCCUGGUCAAUGGGAACGCGGGACUGGGCCGCCCGCGCCGCGGUCAGGUGGGCCCCCCAGCUCGCGCCCCGCGCCGCCUUGCUCGUCCUCCCGCUUCCGCUCCAUCUUGGCUCCAGCAGCUCGCCUUCUUGGUUACUCUUCUGCUGUCAGGGCUGUGGCAGCCGAGACCAAGUGACCUCAGCAAACGCGAGGAGACAGUGGGUCUGAGUAAACCCGCGUUCCGGUGAAUUCGCCUGGGGCAUGGGGACGGUCGCGGAUUGUUUUUUUCCUGCGACCCACCAUCAUUAAUUGAGCACCUAGUAUGUGAGAGUGGAGGCUGUGAGGAGAGGAACACAGCAGGAUGAGACAAAGCCCUGGCCUGUUCUCUAGGAGCCUCUACCUCCCUGUGCCUUCGCGGACCCUGCUCUGAGAUUCCCCGCCAUAGGUUGCUAAGAUGAUUAUGCAGAUCUGAUAUAGGGAAAAACUUCAGCAACUCACCCAGAUUCUGCUAUCCCUACAAGGCUGCAUCCGAAAGACCAAAGAGCUCUUCAUUGUCGACUUUGUGAAAAGGAGACCUGGAAAAGAGUCUUCUUGUUGGGGACCCUGGCCUGAGUUGGAGAAUCCUGGGAAGGAUCUACAAUCUACAACCUGGUGUAGAGGAGUCUAGGGUAAGAAGGAGAAUGUAGAGCUUCUGCGUAGUUCACAAUUGUUACCUGACCUCCUAAGCUUUUUAUAUGUUGAAGACUGAUGUUUUACAUCAAGACUCCAAAGGUGAAGGCAGCUGCCAUGUUGUGAGUUUAUGGAGAGACUCCCAUGGAACAGCCAUGUGAGUGAACUUGGAAGCAGAACCUCCUGCAUCACACCUUCUGAUGAGACUGCAGCCCCCACUGGCAGCUUGAGAACAUCGGCCAGAAGCACCCAGGUAAGUGGCAUCCAGAUUCCUGACUCACAGAAACUUGAGAUAACACGUUUAUUUUUUCAAACUGUUACAUUUGGGGGUAGUUUGUUACGCAGCAAUAGAUAGCUAUAGACACCAAAGUGGAUAUUUAUGCUUGAAGCUUAAGGGGAAGGUCAAGGAUGGAUGUGUUUGUUUAGGAACCAUUAGUGUUUGAUGGCAUUUAAAGCCACGGAACGGAAUAAUGUUAAGUAGAAACAGUGGUCAGAGAAGAGCAGAGGUCUGAGGAGUGAGCCUUGGGGAUUCCCACCGUUCAGUGGUCAGACAAAUGUGGGAGAUUCAGCAAAGCAAGUGGACACCAAGUGGCUAACGUGGAAGGAGGAAAAACAGAAGGGUGUGGUAUCAGGAAUCAAGAGAAGGUCAUGUAUCAAGGAAGUAGGGGAGCUCAAUGCUGCUACAGGUCAGUCAAGGUGAAGGCAGAGAAGUGCCUGUUGGCUUUGACCACGUGGGUUUGGUUAGCAACCUGGACAAGGCCGUUUGAGUGGAGCAGGAGCUCACGUGGACAGGACUGAGGAAGGUGGGGGUGUUCCGUGCUUAGCUGUGUAGCAUGAGGCAUGCCCAAACAAAUGGGGACUCCCCCUUUCGGUUCUACUAUCGCUGUGUUUGCUUCCCUCUCUGGUUCUUGGCUUUGGGAGAUGAUGACAGAAGAUGACAGGGGUUGGGCAGAAUGGAUGGUGGCUUUGAGGAACACGAGCAAGUUUGGUAGCACAGCUGGGGAGCUCCAGUGGACAUGUUCGUUCGCUAAGAUCAUUUCUUUGUUUGGCCUGAGCUAGAAAUUUGAGUGAAAAUCAGUCAUUUGACAGACCCUUACUGUGUGCAGAGCCUGCCAGGCAGGAGUGAUCUGUCAUCGAGUGAGACAUUACCCCAAAAGGAGCGGAUUCAAGGUCCAGGGGGAGGCACAUGUUUAAAUAAACAUUAUAGGACCUUGUGAUUAGUCAUGUAUGACAGAGGUGCAUCCUGUGCUGUGGGAGAGUAAGAGAAGGAGGGCCUGAGCUUGCUACAGGGGGUUGGGAGUGGGUGGGUAAAGAAUGAAGGCUUUCUGGAGGAGGUGGCCCUGGGGCAGAGGCUUAGAGAGUGCCCACUGAGUUUUUAAACUUAAAGUCUGGGAAGAUUAUUCCAGGUCCCUUCUCUCAUCUCUCCUCCAACCCACCCGCUUGCCCUCCUUUUCCAACUCAUACCCCUCCCUGCCCCUCUCUCCCUCCUUCUCCUCUUCUCCUUCUCUCCCUCCUCCUUCCCUGGCCCAUGAUGAAAGGCUUUAGUGGCCUCCCAGUUAAUGAAUUAUGCAUGCCCUUCAGCGGGUGUGCCUGGCAUCCAAUUAGGGCCUUGGCCAGGUUGAUAACAUAGAUUAAAAUGUAAUUCAUUGAGGUUGACAUUUAAGCCCCAGUGUGAGUGGCAGGAAAGAGAAGCAAUGCUUCCCCAGAACCUGGUGUUUUGGGUGGGGGAUGGGGAGGCUCUCAGCUACCAGUAUUUGCUUAACUAAUGCUGGUUUAGAGUCCAGCCAGCCUGUGGGCUGGGCCUUCUGAUGCACCUUUGUGCCGGGGAAAGGUGCAAGGCAGGCUUUGAGUCAAAAUAAGCUUUUUAAAAAAAAUUUUUAUUUAGAAAUAAUUUGAGAUUUACACAAGAGUUGUGAUGACAGUACAGAGAGUUCCCAUAUACCCUUCACUGAGUUUUCCCUCAUGUUAACAUCUUAUGUUACUAUGGUACAGUGAUCAAAACCAAGAAAUUAACAUGGGUACAAUACCCAUUAACUAAACUACUAAUGUUUCUUCAGAUUUCACCCAGUUUCCCACUAAUGUCCCUUUUCAGUUCCAGGACCCAGGAUUGCCAGGAUCCCGUAUGUCAGUGCAGGCUUUGGUGACUGCGUCUCAGCAUGGACAGCAGUCCCUCUCCACGUGCCAAGCCAGGGGUUCUCAAACUCUUGAGUCCAGGGAGUUUCUGGGGAUUUUGUGGAAAAGGCACAUUCUUCCCUAGACAUUCUGAUUCAUUAAAUCUUGCAGAGAGCCCUGACAUCUAUAUUUUUAACAAGCACCCCAGGCAAUGGAGAACUGUUGACCCUGACCAGCACUCCAAGCAAAGUUGGUUUGAUUCCUAGUUCCUUUGGCAACCCAGUUGUCAGCCUGCAGAUUUCCCUCAUCCCCCAACUGAGCCUUUGGGCCUCGCAGGGUUAUCCUCACCCAGACCCUGGGGGGAGGAUGACUAACACGCUGGGCAGGGCAAAAUCCCAGGUAAGUCUUAUGAGAGAGAAGAAGGAAGAAUAUUUAUCUGCCAGUCAUUAAUAUACAAGUUUUCUCGUUUAAUCCACACAACAACCCCUAUGAGUAGAUACUACUUUCCCCAUUUUAUAGAUGAGGAAACCAAACAAUCAUGAUAUUAAGUGUGAGGUUGCCAGAUUUAACAAAUAAAAAAAUCAGAGGUCCAGUUAAACUUGAACCUGAGAUAAGGCAAUGUUGGGGUUAUACUUGUAUUUUGAAAACAUUGUAGUUCAUCUGACAUGCAAAUUUAACUGGGCCUCCUGUAUUUUAUCUUGCGCCCUACUAAUAUCCUUUGGUUGCAGAGCUCACUAGUAGGCUUCGACCAGAUCUGGCUUCAAUGUGUGUAGCAUGGGGCACCCUGUGCUUACCUGUUUAGUGCCCGUCUCACCUGUUGGACCACAAGCAACAGGAGGUGGGGGCCAUAUGUAAUUAUCCCCUACUGUAGCUUCAAAGCUUGGCAGUGUGGCAGUAGGUGCCUAGUAAAUAUUUAUUGAAUAAAUGAAUGGCUAAAUGCAUGCACGAGUAGAAUCUCUACUUCCUUUGUACCAUCAUGGUGGUUGACAGAGAGCUAAGCUGGUGAGGUGUCAUGUGAUCAACUUGCUGAUAGAGAUGUGGGAGGAGUUAGAGGGUCCAAGGUGCCAUGCCCACAUCUGGAACCCUAGCCCUUGCACCCUGAACAAGGACAAAGUGCCAGCUCUUCUCAUCUCAUCCUCUCAGGGCCUCUGCUCUCCCAACUGGGAAAUGAGAUUGGGUCCCUUCCAGCUCUAGGUUUCUGCCAUUCUGUGAUCUCCCAUGGAGAUAAAAAAAAUAUGGCCAAAUAAGAGGAUGUGCUGCCGACUAUAUUUACUUCCCAGCUCAUUCUUAUCUCUCCUCUUCUUCCUCUCCUCCCUCCUCCUCCAUAAUGAUUUUCUCUGCACCCCGUGGUGCCUGGCUUUGGGUUCCUUUCCUCGAAUGCUCCCUUCCGCCCUGUCAGACGAAAUCAGAACCCCAGAGAGACCCGGCACAGCACGGUUCUUCACAUUCAAGGGAGACAUUGGGAGCGCAUUGUAUCUUUUAAAAUAGACCCGUUGUCGUCGGAAUGUAUUUUUAGCUGUGGGAGAGAUUGGCAUGCUCUCCGUGCCACCAUCUGCCAAAGGCAGUUGCUAGGCAACUGACACUGACGACAGCAAGGGGAUGACUUCAUGGAGGAUCUGGGGACCCUGAUGGCCCCAUCCCUCUCCACUGUCUAACUCCUGCAUGCGAACAGCCAGGCCCAAGGGAAUAAGCACUCCUUGCUUUCUGGGAGAGGCCAGGGAGCUGGUUCAAGGCCUGUGGGCAAAGUACGGGAGAUGCUAUACAGGUAACAAGAGACAACGGGCCACCACUGCCACCCUGACUGGUGGAUUUUCUAUUUAGAAAUUUAGAUGCUAUUGUGAUUUAGGGCUGGGAUCUGGACUCAGUGAAUCCAAAGGAUACAUAUCCUUCUUCUCAGCAGCCCCACAGGCACUGGUCUGAGUCACAGCAGGAGCUGUUCGGAGGUCAUCAGCCCAGAGCAGGAUUCAUGGAUGAAGUAGCCAACUGGUGGCCGACCCCUAGGUUUUUGCUCUCUGAGUGAUUUGGGGGUUUCAGCAGAGCAGUCUGGGAGGACAGAGAGAGCCCAUCAAAGGUCUGUGUCUCAGGGGCCAUCCAGGCCACUGGUCUGUACUACUGAUGGGAACAUCAAGGUCCAAGGAGGUGACGUCAGGGGGUUACUCAGCUUCCUAGAAGAUUAAAUGAUUUUUAACAGCCCAAGAACUGCAGGACUCAGUCAUGCUCCCUGACCUUCAUUCCUCCUUCUUUCUCUUCUCUAAAUGGCUAAGCCUGCAGUUUGGAAGCAGGAAGUCUGGGCUCAAGUCCCAGCUGUGCUGGCUUGUCAGCCUUGUGAUAUUUCGCAAUUCCUUCUACCUUGCAGAGCCUCAGUUUUCUCAUCUGCAAAGUGGGAAUAAAUAAGUGGCAUUAAAUAAGGUAAGGUAAUAAGGAAUAAAUAAGUGGCAUUAAAUAAGGUAAGGUAAGGGUUGCAAAACGUUUAGCCCAGGUUCUGAUAGCCUAGAAAGCAUUCCGUAAAUGAAAACUAGUAUCAUUAUUACAGACCGUAUUAGUUUCCCAGAGUGCAGGCCCUGUCCAUUAGCGGGCGCCUGAGAUAAUCAGAGGUGGCACCUUGACAGAAGAGCAAAUAUAAGAUACGCAUUUAGGAAGUCAUGCCCUCCACAGUUCUCUUUCAGCGCUGGGUUUGUAGAAAAGAUAGCAUCAGUUUGCCCACAGUGUGUUUCUUUUUUUAAUCUUUUUUUCAGUUUAUGUAUUUAUUUUGAGAGACAGAACGUGAGCCGGGGAGGGAACAGAGAGAGGGAGAGAGAAUCCCAAGCAGGCUCCACACUGACAGAUGGAGCCUGAUGCGGGGCUGGAUCUCACUAACCAUGAGAUCAUGAUCUGAGCCUAAGUCAAGAGUCGACCCUCAACUAACUCAAUCAACUGAGCCGCCCAGGCACCCCGCAACCUGUUUCUUAAAUAUAUCUAUAACACUUACUAGUUUUUCUUUCUAACAAAGAGAGAACACCUCAUCCCUCGUGGUUAAUGGUACAUAUUUACAUUGAGCUCUCUCUGGUAAAUUCAGUCCUAUUCAAUAAUUUAAACAAUCUCUUUAAGUAACAUAAGCUUUUUCGAAUAAAUGCAUGACCUCAGAUUUGCUUCCCAUCCUCCCCGCUCCUCUCCAAGAUGGCAUCUGGAUGCAUGAAUUGGGGGAAGCUUAUGUGACCACAGAAAUAGAAGCGUGGAGGGAGCCUGGCCCUACUUGCAAUAGUCCUAGCAUUAUUGGGCUGUCCACAGCAACUUCCCUGUGCACCAAAUUCCUGGGAAGAUGAUUAAUUCUAACAUGGCGAGCUUGUGGUCUAUCCUGUUGUCUUGGUCAAAGCCCAUGAAUCCUCAAUGACUCAGUGCCCCACCUCAGCUCUGACCAGCACUCAGCACUGUGCUCCACCUAAGUCAGGCUGUGGUUCACUUUGUCCUCAAGCCCAGGAAGCACCUCUGUGGGUCCCCUGAUCUCCUUCCUAUCCAGCUCCCAACCAUAUUCCAAGUACCUCUGAGUUCCCUUCAAGGCCAUGUUUGGGGCCCUUCCAAGGACUAACUGAUCCAGGAUAAGCAGGAGCAUCACCUGAGGUCUCUCUUUGCCCAACCUCUUCUACUCGGUUUUGGCUGCCACAGUCUGGCUUAAGGAUUUGGGGCACCUCUGUGGCAGUCUUCUCCUGGAGAAACAAGUCUGCCUUCAACUUCCCUGUCUAGCACAUCUCCCACUUUUGGACUUAAGUCUAAGAGGGGCUCAGGGCACCUGGUAUCGCUCCCUGUUUUCCCUAGCAUUGUUCCGUUCUCUUUCCCAAGAUCCAUGGUGCAGGAGGGUCACAGUCUCCACUCUGUCUUUUUGGGGUCCUCUACACGAUACCCUACAGCUUUACUAUAAUGGUUACCAGAGGUGGGGGGAUGAUUUUUCAGUAUAGAAAUGCAAAAUAUACUGAUUUACUCCUUUCAAAACACUAUUUCCAUUGCAUUAGCUAUAUACAAAUUUCUUGAUAAUAAAUCAUUUUUAAGUCAAUUUAAAGAAAACUUCUGAGUGAAUCGAUAGUCAAGUUAGUAGUGGGAAUGGUACCAAAUGUGAAGUUACAAGGCCAAUGGCUAAGUUGAGGGAAACACCAGGACCCACGGAAGAAGCUGUGAUGGAUACAUAAAUGGAAAAGACCUUUUGUCUAGGAGGAAGGCAAUCCUAUUCGCAGGUAAUUAGGAAGCAAGAGGGACCAGAAAAGCAAAGUUCUAAGGAGUUCAGGAGAAUCUAAGAAAGGUUCUUGAAAGAGGUGUGUGUUGAAUUGAGCUUUAAAGGGUAAGAAGCUAGAGAAGAAAGGCAUCAGCAUGUGUGUGUGUGUGUGUGUGUGUGUGUGUGUGUGUGUGUGUGUGUCUUAAUAAGCUAGGGUUAGAUUCCAGUCUAGCAAAUACCACUGAUGACCUACUCUAUGGCCCGGACCCAAGCUAAGGGCUUUGAUGCCUAAAACACUGUAAGUACCUGAACCUAGCAGCAACCAGCAUGUCUAUACAUCGGAUUUUGGUAUGCUUAAUCUUGAGCCUAAACCAGUAAACUCUGCAGGCACAUCAGAAACAUUUUAGAAAUUCCCACCCCAUCCCCUAUUCAUCUCCCAGGAUUUGUGAUCACUUCAAAGGUGGGCAGUUUGAAUAUCCAGACGUCUGGUAUAGGCAGUCUCUUUCUUCCGUACUCCUCAACAGCAUAUGUAGGGCCUGUUCACUGGAUUUCAGGGGCAAUUUGAGGGAUUUUCAAGAUUUAUUUGAACCGUAAGUGAUUUUUGCUGAAUUAAGAAUCAAACCUUCAGAAAGGACUGCGCUCAAGUCCUGUUUCUGUAAUUCCUGGUGCUGUCAUAGGUGUAUCAGAAAUGGAGCUGGAAUUGAGGUGAAAGAUAUUAUUUUCUGGAAGGCUUCUAUUCUGCAGAGGUUUACAGAGCACCUGCCUUUAGCCAAAUGCAUCAGGCAGCCCCUUGCUCUGAGCUCGAGGAAGCCUUUCCUUGCCUAUUAUGCAGAGUUCUGUAGCCAGCAGGCUCCUAAUAUGUACUUGUGACAAUCCUGUGUUUCUCAGGAAGUGACCACUCUGGGAAACCUGUGCAUUAGGUUGAUGCUUCCCAAACCCACUAUGGAUACUGUCCUGCCCCCAUAUCUCCAGGGGGAGUGGAGCAGAAGGACACAAUAUCAACAAGUACCCCAGAUAAUUCUGAUUCUAC